This 148-nucleotide non-coding RNA is filed under the name uncultured Ruthenibacterium sp. The record is from RNAcentral. Lineage: Bacteria; Bacillati; Bacillota; Clostridia; Eubacteriales; Oscillospiraceae.
AAAAGAGAAAGGGUAAAAGGGAAUCAGGUGCAAGUCCUGAGCGAUCCGGUCACUGUAACUGGUGAGAGCCCCGCAAAAAUGCCAUUGCCGAAAGGUGAGAAGGCGCGGGAAUCGCAGACCCAGAAGUCAGGAAACCUGCUUGUUUUGA